RNAcentral lists this unclassified non-coding RNA (396 nucleotides) under fungal sp. RNAcentral describes it as "partial internal transcribed spacer region". The stretch from base 1 to 46 matches the Rfam family "Eukaryotic small subunit ribosomal RNA", at positions 1786 to 1831 of the family's 1831-position model. Lineage: Eukaryota; Fungi. The record is from RNAcentral.
AAGUCGUAACAAGGUUUCCGUAGGUGAACCUGCGGAAGGAUCAUUAAAAAGGAUUCCAGGGUCUUUCUAGGCCCUGGCCCUAUUCAGUACUUGAGGAAUUUACUUUCAGGAAUAUGUUGAAUAUUUUUUUUUUUUCAUGUUUCGAGGAGAAAUGAUUCAGGAUCUGGAUUUCCCAGGGCCCUCCCCACCUCUCGGUGCGGGAGGGUCAAAAACACCCCUUGUGUGCAUUGCAUUUGGAAAACAUAUGGGGGGAAAACAGAAAAGAAUUUGUUUUUCUUUUUCUUUUUCCCCUCGUUCCUUAUCCAACUCACUCGUUUUUAAAAUGAACAUCAUAUAUAUUAUUUAUAAUUUAUUAUAAUUAAAAAACAACUUUCAACAACGGAUCUCUUGGCUCUC